CAACCCCAGCGAAUUUUUGGGAGCUUGCUCCCGAAAAUUAGCGGCGGACGGGUGAGUAACACGUGGGCAACCUGCCUAUAAGACUGGGAUAACUUCGGGAAACCGGAGCUAAUACCGGAUAAUUCCUUUCCUCUCAUGAGGGAAGGCUGAAAGACGGUUUCGGCUGUCACUUAUAGAUGGGCCCGCGGCGCAUUAGCUAGUUGGUGAGGUAACGGCUCACCAAGGCGACGAUGCGUAGCCGACCUGAGAGGGUGAUCGGCCACACUGGGACUGAGACACGGCCCACACUCCUACGGGAGGCAGCAGUAGGGAAUCUUCCGCAAUGGACGGAAGUCUGACGGAGCAACGCCGCGUGAAUGAUGAACGUUUUCGGAUCGUAAAACUCUGUUGUUAUGGAAAAACAAGUACGAGAGUACCUGCUCGUACCUUGACGGUACCUACCAAAAAGCCACGGCUAACUACGUGCCAG
Molecule: ribosomal RNA, 469 nt
Filed under: uncultured Gram-positive bacterium
Lineage: Bacteria
Description: bacterial SSU rRNA
Rfam family: Bacterial small subunit ribosomal RNA
Source: RNAcentral